This 253-nucleotide ribosomal RNA is filed under the name uncultured bacterium. RNAcentral's name for it is "partial 16S ribosomal RNA". It matches the Rfam family "Bacterial small subunit ribosomal RNA", at positions 524 to 776 of the family's 1533-position model. The record is from RNAcentral.
UACGGGGGGAGCAAGCGUUGUUCGGAUUUACUGGGCGUAAAGGGCGCGUAGGCGGCGUGACAAGUCACUUGUGAAAUCUCCGGGCUUAACCCGGAGCGGCCAAGUGAUACUGUCGUGCUAGAGUGCGGAAGGGGCUACUGGAAUUCUCGGUGUAGCGGUGAAAUGCGUAGAUAUCGAGAGGAACACCUGCGGCGAAGGCGGGUUGCUGGGCUGACACUGACGCUGAUGCGCGAAAGCUAGGGGAGCGAACGGG